UUUUCUUCUUUUCCUUCUUUUCUUUUGUUGUCUGCACCUUUUUCCUUUCUUUUCGAAAACUCUCAUUCCUCUUCUUCUUCUUCUUCUACCCGUGACAACCACACACACACACAGACCCACAGCUACACCUACUCGAGGAAAUCAUCACCAUCAUCGCCAUUGAACUGCUUCUCUCUCUCUCUUUCUCUCUCCCCUGCUCGCGGUGCCGGAGUACGCCGAGCACCUCCGGCGAGUUUUGGUUGUUUUUCCGGUUGGGUUUUGGAGGGUUUUUGGCACGGGUGAGUGCACACCCAAAAUUUCCGGCGAGUUGGGUGAGGUUCGAAGGUAUUUCCGGCCACCAUAAGCCGUUUCACGGCGAACCCAAGGGGCGAUUAUCUGCGGCGUUUCCUUCUUCGCUAGAUGGCGUGGCUUUUUGACGGCAAAGUACUGUGAGUGGACCCC
This is a long non-coding RNA of Pyrus x bretschneideri (Chinese white pear), 441 nucleotides long. RefSeq lists it as uncharacterized. The record is from RefSeq and is a predicted model, not a curated record. The transcript is spliced from 3 exons. Lineage: Eukaryota; Viridiplantae; Streptophyta; Magnoliopsida; Rosales; Rosaceae.